AGUGGACGCUGGCGGUAGGCCUAACACAUGCAAGUCGAACGGCAGCACAGUAAGAGCUUGCUCUUACGGGUGGCGAGUGGCGGACGGGUGAGGAAUACAUCGGAAUCUACUUUUUCGUGGGGGAUAACGUAGGGAAACUUACGCUAAUACCGCAUACGACCUACGGGUGAAAGCAGGGGAUCUUCGGACCUUGCGCGAUUGAAUGAGCCGAUGUCGGAUUAGCUAGUUGGCGGGGUAAAGGCCCACCAAGGCGACGAUCCGUAGCUGGUCUGAGAGGAUGAUCAGCCACACUGGAACUGAGACACGGUCCAGACUCCUACGGGAGGCAGCAGUGGGGAAUAUUGGACAAUGGGCGCAAGCCUGAUCCAGCCAUACCGCGUGUGUGAAGAAGGCCUUCGGGUUGUAAAGCCCUUUUGUUGGGAAAGAAAAGCAGCAGGUUAAUACCCCGCUGUUCUGACGGUACCCAAAGAAUAAGCACCGGCUAACUUCGUG
Molecule: ribosomal RNA, 492 nt
Filed under: uncultured bacterium
Lineage: Bacteria
Description: partial 16S ribosomal RNA
Rfam family: Bacterial small subunit ribosomal RNA
Source: RNAcentral